Molecule: ribosomal RNA, 253 nt
Filed under: uncultured bacterium
Lineage: Bacteria
Description: partial 16S ribosomal RNA
Rfam family: Archaeal small subunit ribosomal RNA
Source: RNAcentral
UACCAGCACCCCGAGUGGUCGGGACGAUUAUUGGGCCUAAAGCAUCCGUAGCCGGUUCUGCAAGUCUCCCGUUAAAUCCAACUGCUCAACAGGUGGGCUGCGGAGGAUACUACAGAGCUAGGAGGCAGGAGAGGCAAGCGGUACUCAGUGGGUAGGGGUAAAAUCCGUUGAUCCAUUGAAGGCCACCAGUGGCGAAGGCGGCUUGCCAGAAUGCGCUCGACGGUGAGGGAUGAAAGCUGGGGGAGCAAACCGG